UGGUAACGCCAGUUGCCAUGGAGCCGCUGUUGGGAUACCACCCUUGCAGUAUUGGGUUUCUAACCAGCCGCCGUGACCCGGCGGUGGGACAAUGCCAGACGGGGAGUUUGACUGGGGCGGUCGCCUCCGAAAGGGUAUCGGAGGCGCCCAAAGGUUCCCUCAGAAUGGACGGAAACCAUUCGAAGAGUGCAAAGGCAGAAGGGAGCUUGACUGCGACACCGACGGGUGGAGCAGGUACGAAAGUAGGGCUUAGUGAUCCGGUGGUAUUAAGUGGGAAUGCCAUCGCUCAACGGAUAAAAGCUACCCUGGGGAUAACAGGCUUAUCACUCCCAAGAGUUCACAUCGACGGAGUGGUUUGGCACCUCGAUGUCGGCUCAUCGCAUCCUGGGGCUGUAGUAGGUCCCAAGGGUUGGGCUGUUCGCCCAUUAAAGCGGUACGCGAGCUGGGUUCAGAACGUCGUGAGACAGUUCGGUCCCUAUCCGGCGUGGGCGUAGGAUAUCUGAGAGGAGCUGUCCUUAGUACGAGAGGACCGGGAUGGACGGGCCGCUGGUGCAUCGGUUAGACUGCCAAGUCUACGGCCGAGUAGCCAAGCCCGGAAGGGAUAAACGCUGAAGGCAUCUAAGCGUGAAGCCCCCCUUAAGAUGAGAUAUCCCAUUCGAAAGAAGUAAACCCCCUUGAAGACGACGAGGUAGAUAGGGCAGAGGUGGAAGUG
This 712-nucleotide ribosomal RNA is filed under the name Ruminococcus sp. AM46-18. RNAcentral describes it as "partial 23S ribosomal RNA". It matches the Rfam family "Bacterial large subunit ribosomal RNA", at positions 2163 to 2875 of the family's 2925-position model. Lineage: Bacteria; Bacillati; Bacillota; Clostridia; Eubacteriales; Oscillospiraceae. The record is from RNAcentral.